Molecule: ribosomal RNA, 301 nt
Filed under: uncultured bacterium
Lineage: Bacteria
Description: partial 16S ribosomal RNA
Rfam family: Bacterial small subunit ribosomal RNA
Source: RNAcentral
CAGCAGCCGCGGGAAUACGAAGGGGGCUAGCGUUGCUCGGAAUUACUGGGCGUAGAGGGCGCGUAGGCGGACAGUUCAGUCGGGGGUGAAAGCCCGGGGCUCAACCUCGGAAUUGCCUUCGAUACUGGCUGUCUUGAGUAUGAGAGAGGUGUGUGGAACUCCGAGUGUAGAGGUGAAAUUCGUAGAUAUUCGGAGGAACACCAGUGGCGAAGGCGACACACUGGCUCAUUACUGACGCUGAGGCGCGAAAGCGUGGGGAGCAAACAGGAUUAGAUACCCGCGUAGUCCCUGUCUCUUAUAC